CGCACGGGUGAGUAACACGUAUCCAACCUGCCGUCUACUCUUGGACAGCCUUCUGAAAGGAAGAUAAUACAAGAUGGCAUCAUGAGUCCGCAUGUUCACAUGAUUAAAGGUAUUCCGGUAGACGAUGGGGAUGCGUUCCAUUAGAUAGUAGGCGGGGUAACGGCCCACCUAGUCUUCGAUGGAUAGGGGUUCUGAGAGGAAGGUCCCCCACAUUGGAACUGAGACACGGUCCAA
This 234-nucleotide ribosomal RNA is filed under the name uncultured bacterium. RNAcentral describes it as "partial 16S ribosomal RNA". It matches the Rfam family "Bacterial small subunit ribosomal RNA", at positions 99 to 334 of the family's 1533-position model. The record is from RNAcentral.